UACAGAGGGGGCAAGCGUUGUUCGGAAUUACUGGGCGUAAAGGGCGCGUAGGUGGCCUUCUAAGGUGAACGUGAAAUCCCUGGGCUCAACCCAGGAACUGCGUCCAAGACUGGGAGGCUUGAAUCCGGGAGAGGGAUGCGGAAUUCCAGGUGUAGCGGUGAAAUGCGUAGAUAUCUGGAGGAACACCGGUGGCGAAGGCGGCAUCCUGGACCGGUAUUGACACUGAGGCGCGAAAGCCAGGGGAGCAAACGGG
RNAcentral lists this ribosomal RNA (253 nucleotides) under uncultured bacterium. RNAcentral's name for it is "partial 16S ribosomal RNA". It matches the Rfam family "Bacterial small subunit ribosomal RNA", at positions 524 to 776 of the family's 1533-position model. The record is from RNAcentral.